AUGAACGCUGGCGGCGUGCCUAAUCCAAGCCCGUCGAGCGAACAGAUGAGGAGCUUGCUCCUCUGACGUUAGCGGCGGACGGGUGAGUAACACGUGGAUAACCUACCUAUAAGACUGGGAUAACUUCGGGAAACCGGAGCUAAUACCGGAUAAUAUAUUGAACCGCAUGGUUCAAUAGUGAAAGACGGUUUUGCUGUCACUUAUAGAUGGAUCCGCGCCGCAUUAGCUAGUUGGUAAGGUAACGGCUUACCAAGGCAACGAUGCGUAGCCGACCUGAGAGGGUGAUCGGCCACACUGGAACUGAGACACGGUCCAGACUCCUACGGGAGGCAGCAGUAGGGAAUCUUCCGCAAUGGGCGAAAGCCUGACGGAGCAACGCCGCGUGAGUGAUGAAGGUCUUCGGAUCGUAAAACUCUGUUAUUAGGGAAGAACAAAUGUGUAAGUAACUAUGCACGUCUUGACGGUACCUAAUCAGAAAGCCACGGCUAACUACGUG
RNAcentral lists this ribosomal RNA (496 nucleotides) under uncultured bacterium. RNAcentral's name for it is "partial 16S ribosomal RNA". It matches the Rfam family "Bacterial small subunit ribosomal RNA", at positions 29 to 507 of the family's 1533-position model. The record is from RNAcentral.